Molecule: ribosomal RNA, 492 nt
Filed under: uncultured bacterium
Lineage: Bacteria
Description: bacterial SSU rRNA
Rfam family: Bacterial small subunit ribosomal RNA
Source: RNAcentral
CAGGCCUAACACAUGCAAGUCGAACGGCAGCACAGGAGAGCUUGCUCUCUGGGUGGCGAGUGGCGGACGGGUGAGGAAUACAUCGGAAUCUACCUUUUCGUGGGGGAUAACGUAGGGAAACUUACGCUAAUACCGCAUACGUCCUACGGGAGAAAGCAGGGGACCUUCGGGCCUUGCGCUAUCAGAUGAGCCUAGGUCGGAUUAGCUAGUUGGUGAGGUAAUGGCUCACCAAGGCGACGAUCCGUAACUGGUCUGAGAGGAUGAUCAGUCACACUGGAACUGAGACACGGUCCAGACUCCUACGGGAGGCAGCAGUGGGGAAUAUUGGACAAUGGGCGAAAGCCUGAUCCAGCCAUGCCGCGUGUGUGAAGAAGGUCUUCGGAUUGUAAAGCACUUUAAGUUGGGAGGAAGGGCAGUAAGCUAAUACCUUGCUGUUUUGACGUUACCGACAGAAUAAGCACCGGCUAACUCUGUGCCAGCAGCCGCGGUAAU